This 253-nucleotide ribosomal RNA is filed under the name uncultured bacterium. RNAcentral's name for it is "partial 16S ribosomal RNA". It matches the Rfam family "Bacterial small subunit ribosomal RNA", at positions 524 to 776 of the family's 1533-position model. The record is from RNAcentral.
UACGUAGGUGGCAAGCGUUGUCCGGAUUUACUGGGCGUAAAGAGCGCGCAGGCGGUCGUUCAAGUCGCGUGUGAAAGCCCCCGGCUCAACUGGGGAGGGUCACGCGAUACUGAUCGACUCGAAGGCAGGAGAGGGUAGUGGAAUUCCCGGUGUAGUGGUGAAAUGCGCAGAUAUCGGGAGGAACACCAAUGGCGAAGGCAGCUCGCUGGGACGGUACUGACGCUGAGACGCGAAAGCGUGGGGAGCAAACAGG